Molecule: long non-coding RNA, 1177 nt
Filed under: Zea mays
Lineage: Eukaryota; Viridiplantae; Streptophyta; Magnoliopsida; Poales; Poaceae
Description: long non-coding RNA (ZMAY_LNC002455)
Source: RNAcentral
CUUCAUGACUAUUGAGAUAUCCCAUGAAAAUCUUCUCACAAAUAGUUAUAGCUCUAGCGAUGCUAUCUAAGUCUUCCAGGAAAGUCUCUUAGUACUUUCAUUGCGGCCAACUUGGGCGCAUAUACGUAAUUACAUUUAGGACCAAAUCACCCAUGAUAAGUUUGACCAAGAUAAUUAUAAGUUUGACCAAGAUAAUCCUAUCUCCUUGCCUUAUCACAUCCACUAUUCUAUUCUUGAGGCUCUUAUCAAUCAAACUCCUACUCUACUUCUAUUUGCAGUUGUGUCUAUGUAUCAAAGCUUAAAGCUGGUAUUGUUCACCUUAUUCACCUUAUAACCCUUCCAUUUAGUCUCCUGGACACUGUCUCAACUAACUUCAUUAACUUACGUGUAAGCAACCCUACAUUCCAAAUUUCAAACUACCUAAAUGAAUCUUAGUUAGCUCGACUAGCUUUCUUACCCUUUGCAUCCGUCAAUGAUAUGAAUACCCUUGCAUAUGUUUCACUUCACCCGAGUGAUAAUGUAGCACAACACACCUCUAAGGAAGCAUCAACGCAAUCCUUGCUUAUUUGACACCGUGCGCAGAUCAUGACACAAUGUGUCACCAAAAAGGUGUCGAUUUAGUCCUUGUCCAUUUAACACCAUGCCCAAGUUCUGGUAUGACCAUCGCUAAGAGGGUUACACUCUAACGUAUUUCUUUUAGGUUUUUGCCUCCAUUAGUUAUUUGACACCGUGCGCAGAUCAUGACACAAUGUGUCACCAAAAAGGUGUCGAUUUAGUCCUUGUCCAUUUAACACCAUGCCCAGGUUCUGGUAUGACCAUCGCUAAGAGGGUUACACUCUAACGUAUUUCUUUUAGGUUUUUGCCUCCAUUAGAAUGACUAGGUCUAACACUAGUACACAUAAGUACUAUACUGGCAGUUGUAAACCUAUUUGCACUGGCGGUUUUUACAACCGUCGGUACUAGGGGUCAAUAGAAAUAAUUUUUUCUACAUGCGCGUAACUGAGAACCGCCGCUCGAAAUUGAUUUCCACUGGCGAUUGAACUAACAAAAUCGUUAGUGAAACUCGAUUUCCAUUGGUGACUGAGCUAAUAAAACUGUCGAUGAAAAUAUUUUCCAAGAAACAUAAAAUAAGUUUAAAAAUAGCAAAAAAAUUAUUAGGAGGGGGCCUAGCGUCGGC